GGAUAAAGCUAGAAACACACAAGCAUAUAUUGACGGGGAUAUCGACAUGAAGAUGGACAUCAAGGUGGAUGUGGACAUGAAGGGGAAUAUGGGGGUGGAUAUGAAGCAUGUGAGCUUUUGUUCUUCAGAUUGAAUUUAUCAUGGCUGGUUGCUUAAAAAGCUUUCUUUCUAUCCUAUCCUGUGUAUGCAGUUGGAAGUGGACAAGCCCAUGGCGAAAGCAGGAAUGCAACCACAAGCAAGCUGAGGAGGUAAUAUCCAUGUUUCCAAGAAUUUUUCAUGCCCACAACUCUGUAAAUAUUUUCUAUAGUACAGUACUGAAGUUUACAAAAUAUUUUUCCUGGUUGCGUACCUUCUACAAAAUAUUUCCUACAGGAAAUAGUACAAUACUGAUGUUUUUCAGUACUAUAAAUGUAUUUCAGUAUUGUACUAUAGGAAAUAUUUCAGUACUUACGAUUCUAAAUGACAACCAGAUUCUAAACUCCACUACUGUACAGUACUGAAGCAACUUGUACUCUGGAAAGUACCGAAGUUUACAAAAUGAAAAUUUUCAUGCCCUCAACUCUGUAAAGUACUGAUUUUUGGCAGAUUCUAAUUUGUUAAUAUCUAGCUAUACUGGCAGCUCCUUGCUCUUCCUACUCUGGCAAAUUUUGCCUGGUUGCGUUGUUUUUCGCCGUGACAAAACAGAUUCUUUAUGAUGGGUAUUGCUGCUGCAUUUCCUGAAGUAUUUGGAUUGACGUGUCUCCGCCCCUGCCUAUUUGUACUGCUCAGUGUACUAUGUACGUACAGUAUACAUUCAUGCCUAUUUGUAUGGAGUUUUGCCUAUUUGUUCAAUAUAUAGUACUGCAUAGAGUUUUGCCUAUUUGUACAGAGUCCAACAAUCUAUUGUAUAUAGUACUGUAUCGAGUUUUAGUCAUAGCUUUCACUAUUAAGUUCUAAUUUGUUUUGAACGGAGCAGGUUUUGCACCAGCGGUGCCAAAACUGCUAAAUAUAUGAAUUUGUGCAAAUUUGUUUAACAUUUCUACACAUACAUGCUAGUUUCACCAAAAAGUUGGGACUACCCAGCUUGUACGUGGCUUCACCACUGAUUGUACAAGUUCUUGUUUUGCUUAUCUGCACUUGGAAGAUUUCUGUAUGUGCACUUCAAACAAUUCCUGCUUGAUCAUUGCUUGCUGUGAUGAUGAAGUGUUGUACAUUUACAAGAAUUCUAUUUUCGCCGAGUAGUUAAACUGCCGCAUGUUGUUACUUAAAAAAAUAUCUGAAAGGAGAGCUACAUUUCGAAUUUCCUAUCUGUUGCAGGUUUCACUAUAGAUGUUGACGGAGAUUAGGAAGAUCUUGAAGCCGCUGAUGAUUUGGAAAACCUAUGAUUAAAUUGCUGAGUGAUUAUGUAAUAUGCUAUGUUUGUUGAACCUGGACACUUGCUGUCUUGCUCUGCUCAUUUGCUGGUUAAGCCACUAUAUGCUCAUUUUGGUUGUGUGGCACCCCCAUAAACAUAUGUACUUUCUCCUUUUGUGGCAAUACUUCAGUUUGGUUGUGGCACAUUUAACAUGUAUGUAAUGUACCUUUUGUGGCAGAACCUCCUUAUAUACAUGUGGAUAUUAUGUUUAUCUGAUGAUGUUUAAG
This 1620-nucleotide long non-coding RNA is filed under the name Triticum aestivum (bread wheat). RNAcentral's name for it is "long non-coding RNA (TAES_LNC021888)". Lineage: Eukaryota; Viridiplantae; Streptophyta; Magnoliopsida; Poales; Poaceae. The record is from RNAcentral.